GAUGCAGAGUGCAGUGCCACUCGUUGCCCCUGGGAGUCUCCUGGGGGGCACUGCAGGUUACUAUGGGACUGACACAGAGUGCAGUGCCGCCUGUUGCCCCUGGGAGUCUCCUGGGGGGCACUGCAGGUUACUAUGGGACUGACACAGGGUGCAGUGCCGCCUGUUGCCCCUGGGAGUCUCCUGGGGGGCACUGCAGGUUACUAUGGGACUGACACAGGAUGCUGUGCCGCCUGUUGCCCCUGGGAGUCUCCUGGGAGGCACUGCAGGUUGCUAUGGGACUGAUGCAGAGUGCAGUACCGCCUGUUGCCCCUGGGGGUCUCCUGGGGAGCGCUGCAGGUUGCUAUGGGACUGAUGCAGAGUGCAGUGCUGCCUGUUGCCCCUGGGGGUCUCCUGGGGAUCGCUGCAGGUUGCUAUGGGAUUGACGCAGAGUGCAGUGCCGCCUGUUGCCCCUGGGGGGCACUGCAGGUUGCUAUGGGACUGACGCAGAGUGCAGUGCCGCCUGUUGCCCCUGAGGGUCUCCUGGUGAAGGCCACUGCAGGCCCCUAUGGGGCUAACUCAGCCCUG
Long non-coding RNA from Gopherus flavomarginatus (Mexican gopher tortoise), 564 nucleotides. RefSeq lists it as uncharacterized. The transcript has 4 exons. The record is from RefSeq and is a predicted model, not a curated record. Lineage: Eukaryota; Metazoa; Chordata; Testudines; Testudinidae.